Molecule: transfer RNA, 76 nt
Filed under: Priestia megaterium
Lineage: Bacteria; Bacillati; Bacillota; Bacilli; Caryophanales; Bacillaceae
Description: Bacillus megaterium tRNA-His
Rfam family: tRNA
About the family: Transfer RNA (tRNA) molecules are approximately 80 nucleotides in length. Their secondary structure includes four short double-helical elements and three loops (D, anti-codon, and T loops).
Source: RNAcentral
GCGGUUGUGGUGAAGUGGUUAACACACUGGAUCGUGGUUCCAGUAUACGUAGGUUCGACUCCUACCAGCCGCCCUA